UUUCGCGACCAGCGGCGUCAGGUGCCCCUUCUAGUUCGCUGUAGUCGGGGGGCUCAGGAGCCAGCCAACGACGUCUGCCUGAGGAGCGUCCCGGAGGGUGCCGUUCCCGCAAUCUGCAUAAAGGCAUUUGGAAUGCAUCUAUCAAGCCUCCUACGUUGGCGCGGCUGGCGGUGCCUCUUGGUCUGCUGGGUAUAAGCUCAUGUUACCGUCACCGGUGUGGUUGUGGCAUCAGCAUUAUUCAAGCUCCUUCAUCCGACUCUCACCUCCGAUUCUUGCAUACUGCUUGCACCGAGCCAGCUGGCGCGCAUAUGCCGCAUAUGGACGGGGAGAUUCAAGACUUCAGCGAGAAAUUAUGUAAGCGGCACACAUGCGCAGAUUUGGCCCUGACAAGUGUAGAGUCCUACCAGGCUUUAAAAGCCACCGCAACCUUCUCCGAAGCCAGACACGCUCCAGUCGUAUGGACGAUCAGUACUCCUUAAGACGUCGCGGGCAUCCUCAGCCCACCUGCUUUAACAGAUCGCGGUUACAAUCAUCGACUUCCUGACCGAAGCUGUUACCGACGUCCAUCAGAGGGACACUGCCACUCGUGAUUCGACAUCAUCAUGGCACAACCACAGUUCAGGUGCACCACUGCCAACAGCUACAACAAUCUCGUACGGGGGCCUCCCCGGUCCUUGGAGCAGCGCCAUCUGGUCCACGGUAACCGCGGCUCGUCUACCUACGUCCUCCGCGGGUAUGGCUGCUAUUUCGUGGAACCCACGUUCGUGGAACCCCUACCAAGCGUGCGCGUUUGCGCCGGCUGCUCGGUGGUUCCUGCCAGGGCCGUGCACCUUCCCUGCGGCCACACUUUGAGCGAGAUAUGCGAGUACGACACCUUCAUCCGUCCGACAGCACAGCUGCACCGAGACGCCAGUGCCGUAGCCAGGCACCACGGAGGCCUGUGUCCCAUGGAUGGGACCUGCUUUGCCGAAUCCGUGAUGAAUGCCCCCACCUUCCCCCUGGCACAGCUUGACCGACUGCUCGAUCCGACGUAAGAUCUGCCGCAAUUGUGGACGGGACAACAUCCUGGCGUGUGACACUCGGCAGCAUUGGAGCCGCUGCUCGCCAUUGUAAAGGCGAAUGUCAAAGACGAAUGGA
Molecule: long non-coding RNA, 1137 nt
Organism: Dermacentor albipictus
Lineage: Eukaryota; Metazoa; Arthropoda; Arachnida; Ixodida; Ixodidae
Source: RefSeq, a predicted model, not a curated record